ACUUCGAACAAAACUUAUAUGAAAACUAAAAAAAGACGGAAGGGAGUACAAAACAGUAGGUCUUGCGUGGACCCAAACCGUAUGAGAGCGACGGCGGUCGCGCACGAGAACUCUGGUCCGUGGACUAUCGUGAGAAGCCGAUCCGAGCCAGGGAUGAGAUAAGGUGUACUUGACGGCGGUGGACGUCUGCGCCGUUUGUCGAUCAUUCUGAAACCCAAGCCGUCCCUCUUUUCCCCGCACACCACGCUGUUCCCGUUGUGAGAAGGCGCUUGCGGCGGCGCUCGUUUUACACUGGCGGCGACGCGAAAUAAUGGAGGAUUCUGGGCUGGAGCUCUUGCUCGAUGCCGUAUUAGUUCGAGCAGAUCUGCAAACAAGGUGGAGUUCGCCGACAACCUUGAGCACCUAGAUCCGGUUCCUCUGGUCUUGUUGCCCAACAACGGAGCGGGCCUUGCCGUUCCUGAAGACUCGAAUGCUGGGUCUGGCUGUCAGGCUGUGCUCAGCAGCUUUUGGGCGAUGGGACUGUUAGAGAACGAGUUUGGGUCCGCCGCCGUCCGGAUGGCUCUCCGACGAGGUCGGUGCAGUCGACUGACAGAGUCAAUCCAGAAGCACCUGGCUGGACAAAAACUUAUGCACCCCUACUCCUCCAAACUAUCCUCCUGUAACUUGUUGAACUGUGGCUGCAUCUUCGUCUCCGCUCCGCAGCGUUUAUAAGAAAAAAAGAUGGGUUACUUUUGCUGAAAA
Long non-coding RNA from Hordeum vulgare subsp. vulgare (domesticated barley), 741 nucleotides. RefSeq lists it as uncharacterized. The record is from RefSeq and is a predicted model, not a curated record. The transcript has 2 exons. NCBI's taxonomy places the organism in Eukaryota, Viridiplantae, Streptophyta, Magnoliopsida, Poales, Poaceae.